AGUGAACGCUGGCGGUAGGCCUAACACAUGCAAGUCGAACGGCAGCACAGUAAGAUCUUGCUCUUACGGGUGGCGAGUGGCGGACGGGUGAGGAAUACAUCGGAAUCUACUUUUUCGUGGGGGAUAACGUAGGGAAACUUACGCUAAUACCGCAUACGACCUACGGGUGAAAGCAGGGGAUCUUCGGACCUUGCGCGAUUGAAUGAGCCGAUGUCGGAUUAGCUAGUUGGCGGGGUAAAGGCCCACCAAGGCGACGAUCCGUAGCUGGUCUGAGAGGAUGAUCAGCCACACUGGAACUGAGACACGGUCCAGACUCCUACGGGAGGCAGCAGUGGGGAAUAUUGGACAAUGGGCGCAAGCCUGAUCCAGCCAUACCGCGUGAGUGAAGAAGGCCUUCGGGUUGUAAAGCCCUUUUGUUGGGAAAGAAAAGCAGCAGGUUAAUACCCCGCUGUUCUGACGGUACCCAAAGAAUAAGCACCGGCUAACUUCGUG
RNAcentral lists this ribosomal RNA (492 nucleotides) under uncultured bacterium. Its description in RNAcentral is "partial 16S ribosomal RNA". It matches the Rfam family "Bacterial small subunit ribosomal RNA", at positions 29 to 507 of the family's 1533-position model. The record is from RNAcentral.